This 253-nucleotide ribosomal RNA is filed under the name uncultured bacterium. Its description in RNAcentral is "partial 16S ribosomal RNA". It matches the Rfam family "Bacterial small subunit ribosomal RNA", at positions 524 to 776 of the family's 1533-position model. The record is from RNAcentral.
UACGUAGGGUGCGAGCGUUGUCCGGAAUUAUUGGGCGUAAAGAGCUCGUAGGCGGCCUGUCGUGUCGGUUGUGAAAGCCCGGGGCUUAACCCCGGGUCUGCAGUCGAUACGGGCAGGCUAGAGUUCGGUAGGGGAGAUCGGAAUUCCUGGUGUAGCGGUGAAAUGCGCAGAUAUCAGGAGGAACACCGGUGGCGAAGGCGGAUCUCUGGGCCGAUACUGACGCUGAGGAGCGAAAGCGUGGGGAGCGAACAGG